GAGAAAAGAGCCUGUCUUGAUAGCCAAGGAGACUGCCCAAAUACCACACAAGGAUUCUCAUAUAACCAAUUACAACCAUAUUUUAUCAUAACCAAUUAUACAAUAUGUUUCAUAUAUAUCCAAAAUCACAGAAAACGAAGAGCCGAGUCUUUAAUUAAGAUAGUGAUGAGACUCCUUGAAGAGGUUGCAGGCAAGUCAUCCUUGGCUACAAAACGGAAAGGGCUCCUUAUCC
Molecule: non-coding RNA, 232 nt
Organism: Morus notabilis
Lineage: Eukaryota; Viridiplantae; Streptophyta; Magnoliopsida; Rosales; Moraceae
Source: Rfam